Molecule: long non-coding RNA, 659 nt
Filed under: Zostera marina
Lineage: Eukaryota; Viridiplantae; Streptophyta; Magnoliopsida; Alismatales; Zosteraceae
Description: long non-coding RNA (ZMAR_LNC002764)
Source: RNAcentral
GAAAAUGUAUGUUUUAAAUAAUUUUACUAUUUUAAAUUAUUUAAAUGUUUUAUUUUCUUAUAUAUUAUUUUUCGCUUUUAGGUGAUUCAACAAAAAUGCAUUGAAAAAUUUAUUAAAAGCAAAAAAGGAAGAUACAUUGGACUUGGUGGAGGAUCAUAUGCUGAGUCGAGCACUGCUUCUACCAGAUUUUCAAUUAAAAUGAAUGUAAGUUCUCCUGAGAAAGAAAAAGGAAAAGAAAAAAUGGAUGAUCAAAUGGAGAAGAUACUAGAGGUAUGUGUAUGAUAAUACAUGAAAUUUUAAACUAUUAAAUAAAUAUUAAUGAAUCUUAAAUGUUUUACUGGAUAAUCGAUAUUUUAAAAAGAAAUAUGAGGAAAUUUUUGAUAUGUAUCAAGACAUGAUGAAAACAUUUCUAUCACAAUCAAAUACAACUCCACAACCUUCAGAUCAUGGAUCGUUGCAAGAUAAAAGUAAUGCAGGUCGAGCGAUCGAAGAUAUCGAACUCCUCCAUCAAAAUAAUUAUUCCAUGUUAGUUUUAUUGAAUGUCAAAUUUGUUGAAUGUUAUAUUUGUUGAAUGUUUUUUUGUUGAAUAUUGAAUGAAUUUACAGGAAUUUGCAAUGAAUUUACAGAAAUUUGUUGAAUAUUGAAUGAAUAUAUGCAAU